CUCGUUUAUUGCGUUUAAUCUGCGGAUGCCCACACAACAGGGCGAUGAUGAGGAUAAUGUGGAGUUCGCGCUGCGUCAGCAGUCGGACGAGGGAAACGUGCGUAUCUACAUGUAUUAUUCCGGCGGUACGAGUGUUAUUAUGGCCAUUGUCCGGCUGGUGAUCUUUAUUGGAUGUAGCGCGCAGGUUCGAAGUAUCAGCAAAACGCUGGAAGCGAUCGGUGAUGGAUAUCCCGACUCGUCGCUUACCGCUGCUAAGUACACGUUUUCAACACGAAAUCGCUACUUCCGAAAAUACAGCCAUUUCGGCGGGAGGAUUCUUCUCCAUUAGCAAAGAGUAUCUUAUAACGGUUACGGGUGCUAUUCUAUCAUACUUCAUUCUGAUCUAUCAGGCGCGUGACCAGAAGAGUGAUAUGGCGGAUCUCGUAAAAGAGCGAACGUUUCGGAAAGAGUUAGAGUUUAUGCUGCAG
Long non-coding RNA from Paramacrobiotus metropolitanus, 467 nucleotides. RefSeq lists it as uncharacterized. Lineage: Eukaryota; Metazoa; Tardigrada; Eutardigrada; Parachela; Macrobiotidae. The record is from RefSeq and is a predicted model, not a curated record. The transcript is spliced from 3 exons.